This 382-nucleotide long non-coding RNA is filed under the name Gossypium raimondii (Peruvian cotton). RNAcentral's name for it is "long non-coding RNA (GRAI_LNC003994)". Lineage: Eukaryota; Viridiplantae; Streptophyta; Magnoliopsida; Malvales; Malvaceae. The record is from RNAcentral.
GAGUUCUACUUACCGAUCAGAAGGAGAACCCGACAAUUCUAACAGCACGAUUGAACAAUAGAUUGACAAAUCGAAACGAAGAAGAACAAAGCAAAGGUUUGUAGAGAAGGAGAAAAGAAAAUAUCAGAAAGGGGAAAAAAUAGAAGAAAUUGACGUCAAUUUUUUUUUUAGAGAGAAAAAAAUUUUUGAAAAAAAUAAAAUAAAAAUAAAAACAAAACCUGAUAACUCGCAGUAUCCCAACCCCCCACUAUCCUCUCAUCCUCAACCACCCACUCACACAAACUCCCAAUCCUAACCAAACUCUCUCAGUCAAUCGAGGCAAAAAUUAACCUCCACGCUUGUGCAGGGAUUCAAAUACAAGACCCCCAACACACUAACUCCC